GGGGUUGUGGCUCAGCAGUAGAGCGCUCACCUAGCACAUGAGAGGCCCUGGGUUCGAACCUCAGCUCCA
This 69-nucleotide transfer RNA is filed under the name Ictidomys tridecemlineatus (thirteen-lined ground squirrel). RNAcentral's name for it is "Spermophilus tridecemlineatus (thirteen-lined ground squirrel) tRNA". It matches the Rfam family "tRNA". From Rfam's summary of the family: Transfer RNA (tRNA) molecules are approximately 80 nucleotides in length. The record is from Rfam by way of RNAcentral. Lineage: Eukaryota; Metazoa; Chordata; Mammalia; Rodentia; Sciuridae.